UACAGAGGGGGCAAGCGUUAUUCGGAAUUAUUGGGCGUAAAGGGCGCGUAGGCGGCCUUGCAAGUGGAAGGUGAAAUCCCUCGGCUUAACCGAGGAACUGCCUUCCAGACUGCUAGGCUUGAGACCGGGAGAGGUGAGUGGAAUUCCCAGUGUAGCGGUGAAAUGCGUAGAUAUUGGGAGGAACACCAGUGGCGAAGGCGGCUCACUGGACCGGUACUGACGCUGAUGCACGAAAGCGUGGGGAGCAAACAGG
Molecule: ribosomal RNA, 253 nt
Filed under: uncultured bacterium
Lineage: Bacteria
Description: partial 16S ribosomal RNA
Rfam family: Bacterial small subunit ribosomal RNA
Source: RNAcentral